This is a long non-coding RNA of Syzygium oleosum, 339 nucleotides long. RefSeq lists it as uncharacterized. The transcript is spliced from 2 exons. NCBI's taxonomy places the organism in Eukaryota, Viridiplantae, Streptophyta, Magnoliopsida, Myrtales, Myrtaceae. The record is from RefSeq and is a predicted model, not a curated record.
GCCCUGGAAAGUCGGAGAGUCGCACGGGCGACGACUAUCACGACGAUCAGAGCAAGAACCGACGAGCAAGCAAUCCAGUUUGCUUUCUUGUCCUCCAUCAAGACUUCAUCUCUGCUUCAGGAUUGUGAAUCCACAGGUUUUGCCAAAUGUUCAGGUUUGACCAGUGUAUGGACAGAAGAAAACACCAAGAAAGGUCACAAGCUUACUCUUUCUUUCUUUAUAUUAGAUAGUGACUACUUGUAGAGUUGCCCAUUGUUUCAUAGCCAAUAACUUCCGAGGGGUUGUUCCUUUCUUUAUGGCCACCUGCUUAGUUAAUUCAGUCUCUGAUUUUCGGUUGAA